CAGUAGGGAAUCUUCCGCAAUGGACGAAAGUCUGACGGAGCAACGCCGCGUGAGUGAUGAAGGUUUUCGGAUCGUAAAACUCUGUUGUUAGGGAAGAACAAGUACGAGAGUAACUGCUCGUACCUUGACGGUACCUAACCAGAAAGCCACGGCUAACUACGUGCCAGCAGCCGCGGUAAUACGUAGGUGGCAAGCGUUGUCCGGAAUUAUUGGGCGUAAAGCGCGCGCAGGCGGUCCUUUAAGUCUGAUGUGAAAGCCCACGGCUCAACCGUGGAGGGUCAUUGGAAACUGGGGGACUUGAGUGCAGGAGAGAAGAGUGGAAUUCCACGUGUAGCGGUGAAAUGCGUAGAGAUGUGGAGGAACACCAGUGGCGAAGGCGACUCUUUGGCCUGUAACUGACGCUGAGGCGCGAAAGCGUGGGGAGCAAACAGGAUUAGA
RNAcentral lists this ribosomal RNA (438 nucleotides) under uncultured bacterium. RNAcentral describes it as "bacterial SSU rRNA". It matches the Rfam family "Bacterial small subunit ribosomal RNA", at positions 352 to 782 of the family's 1533-position model. The record is from RNAcentral.